UAAAGACAGUAAAUUUGCCCACAUUCAUAAAAUUGCAAGUAGGCGAUAAUAUAUACCACUCGAACGGUAUAACCCACAACUAUACUAUAAAUAUAUAUAUCAUGUUCGAAAAGAAGCAAUGGAAAUGGCAUCAGGCAGGCGAGCAAGAAGAUGAAGAAAGCUCUAAAGGGAAAUAAGUUUCAUAAGAAAGUUGGGUUCUAAUCGACCACUGAAGUUAAGCUGACAACAGAAAGAAGAACAAGGGGAAGGAAACACGACUUCUAGAGCAAAAAGGGGGCUGGAGGAGGGGAGGGGUCCCCCCUUCCUUCCUUGCAGCAUCCCAUGCGCCUACUUGGAUCUCUGCCUCAUCUUUCGGCGCUUCCUCUUCAGCCUCCUCAUGCGCUUCUUCUUCCACUGCAGAGAAAGAAGGUGCAGCAAAAUGAGGUGCCGCGGUCAGAUCGGGAGAACACGUUGAACUCAUAAUGUCACCCAAAUGGGGGACGUGCUCGGGGGCUCCACAACCCUGGAAGUCAAGAAAAAUUGCGGAGAAAAUGGCGGCUCGGCAUCUCUAAGACAAACAUUACAUUCAUAAAAGAAGAGCGUACGAGGUUCAGUAAGAUUGAAUAUGGGUUAUGAUCGAAGAAGAGUUUCUGCUAAAUAUAAUUGGUUAAAAAAAACAAGAGCACCCAUUUUUCACGAUAUUUUGAAACUACUGGUAUAUUCCCCGAAGAACAUUACUCUGAAAGCAUGUGACAUGGACGAUCACUAUUAAACAGAACAGGGAAUCAAACAGCAUCACACAGUAGGCAAUCAAGAUAUGAACAAAGUCGACAACAGAAGAAAAAAUUGUUUCCAUCAACAAAAAAGGCCCCAAACUAGCAGCACACCAGUACAAACAAGUAGUAAAAGUUGAAGGUUGACGUCGAAACUAGUUCAAGUAGAAAAAUGAAUCUUAAAAGAACACAGGCAUCUUUAAUGGCGACUACAUACCCACCCGGUCAGACAUUAACCGGAUCCACUGAGUUUUCAUAGACAUUAUAGUUUUUGAGAAAGUAUAAUUCGAGCCGUCAAAAUACUUAGCCUAAAAUACCGUAAUAAAAUCCAACUGCAACCUAACACAGAAUAGAACUCCCUCUACAUUUCACACGACCGUUCCUCUUACAAACAAAAAAAAACAUUAUAAAUAUACAAGACGAGAGAACAAACAAGGCUUGCAUCUCCCCGUUCCAUUGUGGCGUAUACAACACACUGACUUCUGAUUCCUGUCCCCAUUAAACAAAGGGUCAUCCGGACGUCGCCUACUUGCAUUUGGUCGCAUAAUAAUAUCCUUCUUAAGAUAUUCAGUUCCGUGUAGAGACCACAGGGUAACACAAAACCAGAAAUGAACGACGCAUGACUGCUUCAAUGUUCUUCGGUCUUAGUUAGAAUAGAUUUAGCAGUUCCAUCAACAAACAAAAACCGAACCAAAUCCAUAAUGAUACGACAAAAAGCAGAUCAUGAGCAUAGUCUCUAACCCAAUAAUGAUCCAAUCGCAGAUGAAAAAAGCAACCACAGGAGAAAAAUCAGACAUCACUAAAACCGGCGACUACGGUAGUCAGUCGAGAAAACAGAUCGAUAUCAGAGAAGUAACAGGUAAAGAGAACGACACAAGGAAGAUCGAUCCGACCUUCGCCCUCAUCGCAACCUCCCCCGACCCUCUCCUGAGACGCCGCCGAGAUCCGCUCGCUCCCUCGUACCACCUCGACCACAACGCGGCGUCUAAGAGCCCCCUCCG
RNAcentral lists this long non-coding RNA (1753 nucleotides) under Spirodela polyrhiza (greater duckweed). RNAcentral describes it as "long non-coding RNA (SPOL_LNC002006)". Lineage: Eukaryota; Viridiplantae; Streptophyta; Magnoliopsida; Alismatales; Araceae. The record is from RNAcentral.